AUGGAGAGAAACUUUGAGUUCAAUCUAGGUGUUCCGAUGAUGAAUUACGAUCAGGGUGCUUACGGAGAAGUGAAUUUUACAUGGCCAGCUUCUAGUGAUAGCGAUACUCAAGAUGAGAAGGAUGAUCUUGAGGAAUUUUGGAAAGAAAGGGACCACUCAUGGGCCACACUAGCACUUGAGAAAAAUCAGGACUCGCAUUCAGAAGCAGUUCAUGAAAACACUGCUGGUUUAGGUAAAAGGGAAGAAGAUCCAUGUUUGCAUGACUGCAAGCAGGAUGAGGAGCUUGGACUAGUGUGCAGAUUAUGCAACGUCGUAUGUGUUGAGGCAAAGAAUAUAUUUCCACAAAUGGCCAAUGGUAACGAAUAUAACAAGGAGAGACCUGGAAGCCGCAACUUGGACCAUGGUGAUCUUGUACUUGAUCCUUCUCUUCUUGCAAUCUUGGGACCAGAGUUUUCAGAAUUGAGGGGCUCUGGGAACUUGUGGAGUUUAAUACCCGACCUUGAGCCGAGAUUACUUCCUCACCAGAGGAAAGCGUUUGAAUUUAUUUGGAAAAACUUGGCGGGGUCAUUGAAACUCGAGGAAAUGGAUAAUCCAUCAGCCAGUAAAGGUGGCUGUGUGGUUGCGCAUACUCCUGGAUCAGGGAAAACACUGCUGCUGAUCUCAUUUCUUGUCAGCUAUUUGAAAGUUCACCCGAGAAGCCGGCCCUUUGUCCUCACCCCAAAGUCUGCUAUCCAUACAUGGAGGAGAGAAUUUGAGAAAUGGGGCGUUUCACUUCCUCUGCAUGUCCUUCACAAGACUGACAAAAGAGGCAAGCCAUCGGGGGAUAUUGAUCCUAGGUUGCAGGCAAUUUUAAGCAAUUUUCACCAACCGACCAGGAAAAAUAUUUGCCUUUUGGAUCGUGUGGACAAGUUAUGCAAGUGGCAUGAGCGUCCAAGUGUUCUUUUGAUGACGUACUCAAGCAUUCAUUGCGCAAGUCCUGAUCAACAACCCUGGGCUGUUGAUCCUCGACGAGGGACACAACCCGAGGAGCACCAAAUCCAAGUUGAGGAGGGUGCUGAUGAAGGUGAAGACUGA
Molecule: ribosomal RNA, 1074 nt
Filed under: Triticum aestivum (bread wheat)
Lineage: Eukaryota; Viridiplantae; Streptophyta; Magnoliopsida; Poales; Poaceae
Description: partial small subunit ribosomal RNA
Source: RNAcentral